AUGGACCAGGUGCAGCGGAAGAGCAGCCUGAGGUCCUACGGCUCGGCCAAGUCGCUGUCGGGGUCGGACGAGCAGCCCGGCCUCGGCGACCGGCGGGAGGUCGUGCUCAAGAUCGACGGCAACGGGAACGGCCCCGCGCCCUUCUCCGUUCCCGUCGGCGGGGCGGCGGGGAAUGCCGGUUCCAACUCCGACGCCAAGCCGGCGCCGAGCAGGACGUUGCUCACCGCCGCCAGCUCGCCGUCCAAGGGCUGGGACGACGGGAGCUACGACUUCUGGAAGAACGAGGGCGGCGGGAAAGGGGGAGGCCCCGCGCCCCGCGUCGAGGACUUCAGCUUCAAGAACCGGCCGGCGCAGCCGCCCACGUCACCGCAGGCAUCGUCCCCUUCCUUCUCGCCGAAGCAGGCGAGCGCCCCGGUGGAGGUCGCCGAGGACCCGCCCACGCGCCUCAUCGGGAACUUCCUCCGGAAGCAGAAGGCGGCCGGGGCCGAGCUGUCGCUCGACCUCGACCUGGAGAUGGACGACAUCGGGAGGUCGUCACACCCGUCCUUGUCCAACUCCCGAGAACGGGAGACGCCGCGUGUCUCCUUCAAGAACCGCCAGUCGUCCUCGUCGUCUUCAUCCGACUCCGAUACCGGCGGCGGCCGUAGGCGCGCCGGCGAUGACGGAAUACGCAACACCUCCACUUCCACUCCAGCGGGGAAGGGCCCGCUAAUGCGAGCCAAGACGCGCUCCCGGCUCAUGGACCCGCCACCGCAGUCACCCAUGGCGCCCCCUGCCGUCGACGAGGAGCGCAAGUCCUCUGCCCGACCUCCUAAGUCCGGCCAGUUUCCUUCGGGACGUAUGACCGGAAAAUCCGGCCAGUCUCCUUCAGGGCGCAAGUCGGGGGCCAUCGGCAAGUCGGGCCCCAUGGAGGAGGAGGAGGACGAUCCGUUCAUAGACGACGACAUCCCUGACGACUUCAAGCGUGGGAAGCUGGACGCCCUCACCAUACUGCAGUGGGUCGGCCUGGUGCUCAUCAUCGGGGCAUUGGUGUGCAGCCUCACGAUAAAGCCCUUGUCCCGGAAGAAGGUCUGGGAGCUGCACCUCUGGAAGUGGGAGCUCCUCGUGUUCGUGCUCAUCUGCGGCCGCCUCGUCUCCGGCUGGGUCAUCCGGAUCGUGGUGUUCUUCGUGGAACGCAACUUCGUGCUGCGGAAGCGCGUGCUCUACUUCGUGUACGGCGUGCGCGGCGCCGUGCAGAACGCGCUCUGGCUCGGCCUGGUUCUCGCGUCAUGGCACUUCUUGUUCGACGAGAACGUCCAGACAAACACGGCGGUGCUGCCCUACGUGACAAAGGUGCUGUUCUGCUUCCUCGUCGCCACGCUCAUCCGCCUCGUGAAGACGCUGCUGCUCAAGGUGCUGGCCUCGUCCUUCCAUGUCUCCACAUACUUUGAUCGGAUCCAAGAGGCAUUGUUCAACCAGUAUGUCAUCGAGACACUCUCUGGGCCGCCGCUAGUUGACGAAGACUACGUGCUUGCUGAGGUGCGUGAGCUGCAACGGGCAGGCGCAACCAUCCCGAAAGAGCUGCGUGCCGCCUUGCCAGCCAAGAACCUUUCGGGCCAAAAAAGCAUCCGGAUCUCGGGUUUAAUCUCCAAGGGAGACCAAUCAAGCAGGCAGCUGUCAAAGGAGAAGAAACAGCGUGAGAUUGAUGAAGGGAUCACCAUUGACAAGCUCCAUAGGCUCAAUCAGAAAAACGUCUCGGCAUGGAACAUGAAGAGGCUGAUGAAGAUUGUUCGUUUUGGGACGCUCACCACAAUGGAUGAGCAGAUUCAGCAGGCAACGGGAGAGGGGGAUGAGUCAGCGACACAGAUUCGCAGUGAAUAUGAGGCGCAGCUGGCCGCCAAGAAGAUCUUUCAUAAUGUGGCAAAGCCUGGAUCCAAGUACAUAUACUUGGCAGACUUGAUGCGCUUCAUGAGGCAGGAGGAAGCCAUCAAAGCUAUGCAUCUUUUUGAAGGAGCACAGGAGCACUGCAGGGUCAGCAAGAGGUCUCUGAAGAACUGGGUGGUGAAUGCAUUUAGAGAGCGCAAAGCUCUUGCCCUAACACUUAAUGACACAAAAACUGCAGUUAACAAGCUCAACCAGAUGUGCAAUGUUGUUGUUGGCCUCAUAGUGUCUGCUCUCUGGCUUCUUAUUCUGGGCAUAGCCACAACACAUUUCUUUGUCUUCAUCAGUUCACAGCUUCUUGUGGCAGUUUUUGUGUUCGGGAAUACUAUGAAGACAAUUUUUGAGGCAAUAAUUUUCUUAUUCGUGAUGCAUCCUUUCGAUGUCGGUGACCGCUGUGAGAUUGAAGAAGUUCAGGUUGUUGUGGAGGAAAUGAAUAUCAUGACAACAGUCUUCCUACGUUAUGAUAACCUGAAGAUCUAUUAUCCGAACAGUGUGCUGGCCACCAAGCCGAUUUUUAAUUUCUACAGAAGUCCUGAUAUGGGAGAAGGAAUUGACUUCUCUAUCCAUGUUGCCACGCCGGUGGAAAAACUGGCUCUCAUGAAGGAAAGAAUACUACGUUACAUUGACGGUAAGAAGGAGCAUUGGUACCCCGGUGCGAUGGUUGUCCUCCGAGAUGUGGAUGACACCAACAAGCUAAAGGUAUCCAUAUGGCUCCGGCACACACUCAACUUCCAGGACAUGGGGAUGAGGUUCGUGAGGAGGGAACUCGUGCUCCAGGAGAUGAUCAGAGUGCUCAAGGACCUCGACAUCGAGUAUCGGAUGUUGCCGCUGGACGUGAACGUGCGGAACGUGCCCCCUCUUCAGUCCACAAGGAUGCCGACGACAUGGAACUAUGCCUGA
RNAcentral lists this ribosomal RNA (2820 nucleotides) under Triticum aestivum (bread wheat). RNAcentral describes it as "partial small subunit ribosomal RNA". Lineage: Eukaryota; Viridiplantae; Streptophyta; Magnoliopsida; Poales; Poaceae. The record is from RNAcentral.